UACGUAGGUCCCGAGCGUUGUCCGGAUUUAUUGGGCGUAAAGCGAGCGCAGGUGGUCUAUUAAGUCUGGUGUAAAAGGCAGUGGCUCAACCAUUGUAUGCAUUGGAAACUGGUAGACUUGAGUGCAGGAGAGGAGAGUGGAAUUCCAUGUGUAGCGGUGAAAUGCGUAGAUAUAUGGAGGAACACCGGUGGCGAAAGCGGCUCUCUGGCUUGUAAUUGACACUGAGGCUCGAAAGCGUGGGGAGCAAACAGG
Molecule: ribosomal RNA, 252 nt
Filed under: uncultured bacterium
Lineage: Bacteria
Description: partial 16S ribosomal RNA
Rfam family: Bacterial small subunit ribosomal RNA
Source: RNAcentral